RNAcentral lists this ribosomal RNA (253 nucleotides) under uncultured bacterium. RNAcentral's name for it is "partial 16S ribosomal RNA". It matches the Rfam family "Bacterial small subunit ribosomal RNA", at positions 524 to 776 of the family's 1533-position model. The record is from RNAcentral.
UACGUAGGGACCAAGCGUUGUUCGGAUUUACUGGGCGUAAAGGGCGCGUAGGCGGCUUAACAAGUCACUUGUGAAAUCUCCGGGCUUAACUCGGAACGGCCAAGUGAAACUGUCAAGCUAGAGUGCAGAAGGGGCAAUCGGAAUUCUUGGUGUAGCGGUGAAAUGCGCAGAUAUCAGGAGGAACACCGGUGGCGAAGGCGGGUCUCUGGGCAACAACUGACGCUGAGGAGCGAAAGCGUGGGGAGCGAACAGG